RNAcentral lists this ribosomal RNA (404 nucleotides) under uncultured bacterium. RNAcentral describes it as "bacterial SSU rRNA". It matches the Rfam family "Bacterial small subunit ribosomal RNA", at positions 355 to 776 of the family's 1533-position model. The record is from RNAcentral.
UUGGGAAUAUUGCGCAAUGGACGAAAGUCUGACGCAGCGACACCGCGUGUAGGAAGACGCCUUUCGGGGUGUAAACUACUUUUAUCUGGGAGGAUUAUGACAGUACCAGAUGAAUAAGUGACGGCAAACUACGUGCCAGAAGCCUCGGUGAUACGUAGGUCACAAGCGUUAUCCGGAAUUAUUGGGCGUAAAGCGUGCGUAGGUGGUUUUGAAAGUUUUCUGUUAAAUAUCUGGGCUCAACCCAGAAGUUGCAGGAAAGACUUCAAGACUAGAGGUCAGUAGAGGUGCAUGGAACUCUCGGUGUAGGAGUGAAAUCCGUUGAUAUCGAGGGGAACACCAAUGGCGAAGGCAGUGCACUAGACUGAUUCUGACACUCAGGCACGAAAGCGUGGGUAGCGAAAAGG